This is a long non-coding RNA of Dromiciops gliroides (monito del monte), 839 nucleotides long. RefSeq lists it as uncharacterized. The transcript has 3 exons. NCBI's taxonomy places the organism in Eukaryota, Metazoa, Chordata, Mammalia, Microbiotheria, Microbiotheriidae. The record is from RefSeq and is a predicted model, not a curated record.
CUCUGCCUGCUGGGGAAACAACUUCACUCAGUGCUGAUUGCCUCCGGUCUGAUUGCAGCAAAAUCUAUCUAGAGUAACAUCUGCUAAUGUCUAGAGGGAAGUUUUUUCUAUCAUCAUUUUAUCAAGGACCGCCCUUUUGAGGAGGAGACUGUGGCAAACAGCCGCGUGCCUGCUGCUGCCUGGAGAACGUGGCCAAGCACGCCAUACUUCCCGGAUGCCAACUUAAAAUGGAGGGUAGAACGGAAGUUCGCGCUCAGUCUCGCACUCUCUGGCUUCUCAGCUUAGCGGUGACUGCGCGUUCUGGAGAUUGGCUCUUGUUCUCAGCCUGGCAGGCAGAUUUGGGAUUCGUAUUUUUCUUACUAGAUCUGUGCCUUCAUCAACGUGAAGAAUUCCUGAUGCAGAAAUUCAUUCCUCCAAUGAAGUUCCAACUCAUCUGUAAUUUAUAUUCUUGGAGAGAUGCCUGGCUCAACCAACUUGCCAGAGUCACACAGCUAAUAUAUGUAAGACAGGAUUUAAACCCAGGACUACCAAAUUCAAAUCUGACUCUAUCAAACUACUUCUCAAGAGUUGUUGUGAUAAGUAAUGGCCGAGUGUGCUUUAGUGCCAUAUAAAUCUAAAAUAUCAUAACUGCAUUUUCUUCUAAUUGCUAUGGACAUUAUCUUUUUCUUCUUCUAUCUUCAUAAAAGAUAGAACAAUGAAAGGAUCUUCUAAUGCUUAUCUCUUCAUAUCUUUUACUGUAGCUAUUGCAAUGAAAAUUUUAAUCAAUAAGGUCUUUUAAGAACAGGUUUAAGCUUCAAUGAAGGAAAAAGUAAUACUAAAGAACUAAUAGUGAAAGAACA